Molecule: ribosomal RNA, 139 nt
Filed under: uncultured eukaryote
Lineage: Eukaryota
Description: partial small subunit ribosomal RNA
Source: RNAcentral
GUUCUGCCAGAAGCCGAUCGUGGCGGUCUGACCUACGGCAAGGCUGUUGGCCUGCUCGCCGAAGUUGUAGUUCUCAGCAUCAACGCCUGAGUCAAGGUAAAUGUUGGAGAAUACAUUGUCGCUGAUGACUGGUAAUGGG